UCGGCUUCCUGAAAGAGAUUGUAAGUAUAGCGAUAUUAGCUUAAUUAUAUCAUUGUUAUAUUUACUGUCAAUAUAAUACGUCUUGUUUAAAUUUCUAUUUGCCUGCAUCUUCACAUAAAUACUGCAAAGAUUAUAUAUGUUAACUAUAACAAAAAAGUCUAUAAGAUUGCAUUAAAAAUGGAGAACUUAUGCGCUCUAUUGUAUACAAGGGGUUAUUUUCAGUAGCAUUUGUUUUCUAAACGGCAAUUAUUUCUUACCAAACUUUGAACGUCGGUUAUUUAAUGGCAUGUACAAUUCAUGAUACAUCGAGUUUCUCUGACAUUUAACAUGUUUAACUAAAGGGUAAUUUAAGGAAGGUGAUAAUGUUCUUAACCAUCAGGUGUCAAAAGGUAAUCUCGGCUGACGUAAGGGUUACAUUUUACCGUGAUUCGUAAAAAUGCAUUUAUUGUGAUUCCUUGGAUAUAUCAUAUACAUAUCAUUACCGUUAUUUUUAGGAAACAUUUAACGUGAUUAUAAAAAGGGUUUUGAAUUGGUGGUCUAGCAACUAGACUAUUUUCGUACAAACGAUUUUGUCUUCGUUUUUUUUUUUUUUAAUAUUUUCGAUAGGAGUCACCUCUACGGUAGUUCACUAUAGUACUCUGGCAUAUUAGAUCAAUCAAUUGGAUACAAAAGACGGAAAUAUGAAAAUAUUAUCAGUUGCAAUACAAGAUAAUAUAACAAAAUGAUAAACCCCUGUUUGGUAAUCAACAUCAGUUUAAAAAUAAGUGAACUGAAACAACUAUUUGAAGCUGGUAAAUACUGAGUUUGAAUGUUGGCCUCUUAGAUAAAUUCAACUGCUUCACCAUGGAAAAAUUUAGAAAAGUAUUAACUAUUUACACCUCCAUUUAAUUAAAUGUCCGUCAACGUAGACACCUUUCUAAAUUAGAAGUAAUAUGCACAGUGUAUACAUAUGGUGUUUGAGAUCUAGCUCAAUAUCUACAACAUUAUUUUAGAAAUUUGCAAUAUUUUUCUACAAUGAUCUAUUUGUCCAAUAUAUGUGAUCUGCAGUUUUUCAUGAUUUAUCUAAAAUGGAAAAAAAUAUGUAUUUUUUGCAUACCGUCUUUUGAAUGAAAAAAUGGAAAUCACAAAUGAUAAACUCCAAAGAAAACUAAAAAAAGAAAGUCCCUUAUGGCCACAUAAAAAAAUCAAAAAAAAAAUCUAACGAAUAGAUAACUGUACUACUUCGAACUUGGUGCAGGCAUUCUCUUAUUUAGAAAACUGUGGAUAAAACCUGGUUUUAAAUCUAGCUAAACUCUCACUUGUAUAAGAGUCGCAUUAAAUUCGAUUGUAUUGACAAUGAUGUGUGAACAAAUCAAACAGACAUAAUAGUGUCCUGAAAAUAGUCAAUUGCAAAAAACAUAAAGCACGGAAAACAUUCUCGUAUUUAACCCGACAAUUCGCCGUUUCAGAAUCUAAUGCAUCCUGGGUAAUAUUUUCAAAAGCAGUAAAACCUUAUAAACAAUGGAAAUUCAACCAAUGACGUAACGUUAUUUUCACUUUAGGGUACGAACAAUGAAAUUACCCAUGAUGCUUUAGAUUCUGAAACGGCCAAUUAACUAUAUGCUUAUUGACACAAUUCAAGGUGUUAUAACAUGUUUUUGUUUUAUCUAGAUGGCACAAAUGUAACGGGGUUAGAGUUUAUUUGGCCCUCUAUGAGUAAUUUUGGAAUAGGAGAAAAUAAUAAAGUCGUCCUGAGAUGUAAAGUACGCAGUGAUGCAGAACCUCAUUUCGAGGUAUGUCUUUUUAUAUUCUGUAAACCAUUAUUCGGAUGCAAAGAACGUUUAUAUUUUAAAAGUAUACCUUAAACCAUUUAAAAAAUGUGAUAUUGGAUCAGCUUUAAAAUUUCUAGUAUAUAAUUGGUUCACAACACGUCAAAUUAGGAAUCUAAUACCUUGUAGACAAUAAGGUAGAGGUAAAUCUUUAUAGUAUCUCUGACAUUUUUAAUUUCCUUUUUGUGCGACAAAAGAUCGACUUCACUUCUAGUACUAAUCAAAAAUACAAAUAUGUUUUUUAUUGGACUAAUCCAUUCCAAUUGAUAUUCUAAUAAGUGUCUUUCUAUGAUGUGAUGAUUCACUAUUGAUUCAGAUAAUGGAGAACGUUAAAUCCCGCUACAAUUGUUUGCAACUGUCCUAGGUCAGGAAUCAGAUGGUCAGUAGUAAUCGUUUGUAAUGUGAUUCAUAAGUGUUUCUGUGUUUUUUUAUAUAUAUAUGUAUUUGACUAUAUAAAAACGGAAAAACGAGAAACAUAAUAAACCACAGGUCUUGAUAUAAAAGGAUUCUAAAAUUAAAUAAACAUUUUCAACACCAUAAAAUACAUGUUCUUCUUCCGUUAACACCCAUAUACCACAAUCACUGAUAAUAAUCAUACUAAUAAAUAACAAAAAAUAGUAAAGUGCAAUACCACACGACAGAGCCGAGGGCUGGUUUAAUAACAACCAUUAAAUAUUUAUUGUAUACAAAUUUCGAAUCAGUACGAAAAGUCAUCAUUUAUAUAGAUAUAUAUACAACUCGUAUAAACAUCAACCAAAUUAUGUUAGAUCUGUAAAUUUGCUUCCGCAAAUUCUUGUUCUUCCCUCGCCGGGAUACGAACAUAUGCUACUGAGAUAUCGUGACAACAAAUCGCCUGCACUUUAGCCUUCCCGCUAGAUAUAUAUAUAUAUAUAUAUUAUAUGUACUUCAAUACAAACACACAUUUGUAAACAAUCGAUCUCUUAAUGCAUGAUACAAAAUAUCAAAUAGCAUGGAUGUAAAAAUUUACGUGACCUAUCGAGUAGACCCUGUCGUGCCGAAUGAUUUAACCGCCAAAUCACACAAACCACUUAACCUAAACGCCACCUAUAUGGGCAGACAAUUCAGAAGAAAAUAAUUUCAUUCUAAUUCAUAAAAUCAACCGACUGAAAUUAUAUUCACAGUAAAUAGAAAUAUUAAAAUACUAUUGUGACAAUAAUAUGUUGAAAGAAUAUGUGUCGCGUUUAGAGAUUUGUUGACUGUCAAUGAAACAUUGAGAUGCUUUGAUAUGAGUCGAGAGAUUUAAAAGCCUGAAUAUUGUUUGACUGGCAAUGAAAUGUUGAGAGGAUUUUGGAUGAAUUAGGAGAUUUAUUUGACUGCCAUUUAAACGUUGAGAGGCUUUGGUAUGUACAGAGAGAUGGUUCAAAUGGCAUUGAACUGUUCAGAGAAUUUUUAUGCGGUAAGAGAUUGUUAACUGCCAAUUGUGAAAUGUUGUGAUGAUUUGGAGUGCAUUGAGAGAAUGUUAUACUGCUAGGAAAUUUUGUGAGAAUGUCAAAUGCAUUUAGACGGGAGAUAAAUUAAAUUACAACGACAUAUUGAGAGAACUUGGUAUGUGUUGAGAGAUUAAUCGACUGGUAGUGAAAUGUUUGGAGGAAUCUUUAUGUUUUGAUAGAUUAUUUGCCUGAUAGUGAAACUUAACCUAUUUUAUCUUUAUUUUGUCGGUUAGUGGGUGAGGAUAGACAGUUCAACGUCUGCACACUCAAAAAUAUAUCACACUAAUGACGGACGAUAUUCUAUCUACUUAAAACAACAACCCGGGCAUCGAUACAGCAGCAAACUUGUAAUACAAAACGCACAUGCAUCGGAGUCUGGAAUUUACAAGUGCCGCGUUAAUGUAAGAUGGUCUGCUGUCAUAGAAAGACAUUAUAGAGUCCAUGUUCAAG
Molecule: long non-coding RNA, 3709 nt
Filed under: Mytilus galloprovincialis (Mediterranean mussel)
Lineage: Eukaryota; Metazoa; Mollusca; Bivalvia; Mytilida; Mytilidae
Source: RNAcentral